This 497-nucleotide ribosomal RNA is filed under the name uncultured bacterium. Its description in RNAcentral is "partial 16S ribosomal RNA". It matches the Rfam family "Bacterial small subunit ribosomal RNA", at positions 28 to 507 of the family's 1533-position model. The record is from RNAcentral.
GAUGAACGCUGGCGGCGUGCCUAAUACAUGCAAGUCGAGCGAACAGACGAGGCGCUUGCUCCUCUGACGUUAGCGGCGGACGGGUGAGUCACACGUGGAUAACCUACCUAUAAGACUGGGAUCACUUCGGGAAACCGGAGCUAAUACCGGAUAAUAUAUUGAACCGCAUGGUUCAAUAGUGAAAGACGGUUUUGCUGUCACUUAUAGAUGGAUCCGCGCCGCAGUAGCUAGUUGGUAAGGUAACGGCUUACCAAGGCGACGAUGCGUAGCCGACCUGAGAGGGGGAUCGGCCACCCGGGAACGGAGACACGGUCCAGACGCCUACGGGAGGCAGCAGUAGGGAAUCUUCCGCAAUGGGCGAAAGCCUGACGGAGCAACGCCGCGUGAGUGAUGAAGGUCUUCGGAGCGUAAAACUCUGUUAUGAGGGAAGAACAAAUGUGUAAGUAACUAUGCACGUCGUGACGGUACCGAAUCAGAAAGCCACGGCUAACUACGUG